Non-coding RNA from Paramuricea clavata, 256 nucleotides. The record is from the annotation of a GenBank genome assembly. NCBI's taxonomy places the organism in Eukaryota, Metazoa, Cnidaria, Anthozoa, Malacalcyonacea, Plexauridae.
GAGAGUAUGAAGUACACAAAACAUAAGGAUAAGAAAGGGUAAUGAAGGGAAGUGACGAACAAAAAUAAAAACAUACAAAUUAGAUGACAACACAUACAAAACAUAAAAAAGAGAGAGAUCAGAAUAGAUGAAGAGGAAUUGAACUGCCUUGAAUGUUGAGAGAGGGUUUCAUUUUAGAGAUAAGAAUCAUAAGAAGGCUUUCAUGAAUAAGGAGUUCUUGGUCAUCUGAACAAGAGGAGAGGAUUUUAAAGUUGUC